UGAAUGAGCCUUCAUCUUUGCUCGUCACACCGCCUGCUUCACUGCUUGAAGACUUUGGGGGCUGUCCUGUCUCUUUCUUCCAGAUACAAGAAGACUCUUGGCCUUUUCUUUGUCGACUUCACUUCCGGGGCAGAAGAAACUACCUUGCCCUGGCUAUCAGGAUGGGGUACCUGUGGAGACUGAAUUUGGAGAUAGCAGUGAAGACGAAGGAGCUGGAGUUUCAAAGCAGGGCCUUGGACAGAGUCUUGGGCAGAGCGUUCAAGGUUUGUUCCAACAGAAUUCAUGACACAAGAAAGGCUCACAUCAUAUAGUAACACUUAUAUCAGAGGUGUGGUCGGCAACCUGGUGAGAAACUCGAGAGGAGGGAACCCUGACCUGGGGCUGAGAAGAAAUCUGCAUGCAUCUCACUUCUGAGAAACCAGAAAGCCCUGUAACUCUCCACUCUAAAUCAAAUUUAGGAGACCGAGAGCCUGUGGGCUCUUGUAUUAACUGCAAUGAGUUCUUGUCACUUGAAGUCUCUGUUAAAUGAAGAAUGUCAAGUUUAAUUUCCAGAA
Molecule: small RNA, 554 nt
Filed under: Rattus norvegicus (Norway rat)
Lineage: Eukaryota; Metazoa; Chordata; Mammalia; Rodentia; Muridae
Description: uncharacterized LOC108349922
Source: RNAcentral